Long non-coding RNA from Symphalangus syndactylus (siamang), 8107 nucleotides. RefSeq lists it as uncharacterized. The record is from RefSeq and is a predicted model, not a curated record. NCBI's taxonomy places the organism in Eukaryota, Metazoa, Chordata, Mammalia, Primates, Hylobatidae.
AAAUAGGACAGUGGUGCAUGGAGUGGGGCUCUGUGCAUUCGUUAAAUGCUAUCGGCAGUUUUUCAGACUUUGCAUACAUUGUGUAUUUACUAAACUUUGGGGACAAGCUCAGUGAUAAUCACUCCCUUAACGCUGGUCCUCGGUCCCCGCUGUUAGCCUGCCUGGAUGAUGCGCGCAGGCUGCACUCCUGACGUCCCAUCUGCGGCUCGGGAAGAAGACGGGUGAUGGUGUCUCAUCCCAUAAAAAGAGGCCUGCUAAUCCCAGCAGAACAACCCAAGGCACCGCACUUUAAAAAGCAACGACCCAAUUUUGAUGUUUUGGAAAAGAAGAAAGCCAAGUUGCCCUUAUUUCGAAGUUAGGAGCAGCUGUCACAAAACAGUUUCAUGCACACAGCAGGAGAAGAAAUAGGGUUUGCAAGACCCCAGUUACUGGAUUGGGAUCCACCCUAACUCAAUAUGACCUCAGCUUAAUGAAAGACAUCUGCAGAGACCCUAUUUCUACUAAAAGCCACAUUCUGAGAUUUCUCGUGGACAUGAGUUUUUGAGAGACACUGUUCUGCUCCAUGCAGGGAGGGAACUGGGAUCUGAAGACGUUGCAUUCGAGGUCUCGGGGCUCCUCUUCUGAUGAGCAGCCUCGGGCUGACCUGGGGCAGGUGUGAUGUCUGCGCCUCACCAUCUCCACCCUGCCUGCUGUGGAAUCUCCAUCACAACGACAGGUGCUUUGGAGGCCGGAGUGCAUGCGUACGGGCCCUGCACACACUGAAUGUCACUGGGAACACGGACACACCCCGCUUCCAGGAGAAGAUAGAACACAUCGACCCCUUUUGCUCUCGCUCUAUUGCCUAGGCUGGAGUUCAGUGGCGUGAUCUUGGCUCACUGCAGCCUCAAACUCACAGGCUUAGGUGAUCCUCCCACCUCAGCCUCCUCAGUAGCUGGGACUACAGAGCCAUCCCCAGUGCAGGACAUGCUGUUGACUUCCAUGAGACAAACACCUACUUGGAAAUCAGGUUUUUUCUGUACCUUUUGAAGGAGUAGGAAUUUCCCAGCAUUUCCUGGACAAAGACAGAGGUGAGUGUCAGAUACGGAGUGGAGUUCGGAGAUGGAGAUUCAUCCCUGUAUGUGACAGGGAUGGGGAUUUACCAAGAGAGGACAGUGCCCAGCCCGAGCCUGGGAGUUUGGUUGUUGGGUUGGCAGAACUCGUCUGAGAUGUGCCAUUCUGGUGUGUCCUGGAUCAAAAUUUGGGGCAGGCUGGGGUGGCUUCAGCUGGAAUCACCUGCAACCUGUCUCCUCAAGUCCCCAGUCCCUAAUACCGCUGGGUAAUCCCUGGGCGUAUCAGCCAUGUAAACCUCGUACCAAAAGGCGAGGCACAGUGGAAACAUUUGGAAGCCCCCAGGAUAACGCAUGGAGCCUGAGGCAGCCUGGCCCAGCCUCUCAGGCCUAGAUGCGCCUCUGUGGAUGUUAAUGUGGCAUAGACGCACCUCUGCGGACGUCACUGUGACACAGGCGCGCCUCUGCGGACGUCACUGUGGCACAGGCGCGCCUCUGCGGACGUCACUGUGGCACAGGCGCGCCUCUGCGGACGUCACUGUGGCACAGGCGCGCCUCUGCAGAUGUCGGGGGCAGGUGGGUAUUUGCGUCCCGUUGAAACCUGUCCGCGCUUGUCAGAGGAUGACCAGAAGCAGACCCAGGAGGAGCUUCGGAACUGCACGGGGCAGGUGCAGCCUGGGGGUGGCACGCACCACAGAACACAAGAGGCAUCCAGGAGGCAGAUGCAGCAGAUAGAGGCCACGUGCCUCACCGCCUGUGAAAUGCAGGGAGAGGAGGAUGUUAUGUCACUGAGCCCAUUGGGCACAGCAUGGAAGUAUGUGACAUCCAUGGUUGACACUAGGAAGGCAGCACUCGAGUUAGACCUGUGAAGGGCGGAUCGUGACCUUGGGCUUUUGUGCAAAGAUGACCCUCCUGUGCGUGGCUGUGUCCUCCAAUGCAUUGACAUUUAGCAUAAUGUUUUUAACGUCCAUCCAUGUUGUAGCCUUUGAAAAAAUCCAGGUGUCCGCAGGAGGUGUUAGUCCAGGGACACCGCGAAUGAUGCUUGUUCACUAGCAGAAUGUGACCCUGGGAGGAAGAAGGUGUACAAAGUGUGUGAGUUCUGGGAGGGAAGAGAUAUCUCGCUGAGAGAAUCCCAAGGGUGUCAGAGGCUUGGAGAUCAUCCAGUAAGGAAACGAAGGCACAAGUGUCGAUGUGGCUGUCUCUGGCUCCUAGGACAGGGCCUGUCCCCCCCUGCCAAGGUGGUGCUGGCUCUUGGCUGCCUGCCAUCUUCCCUGCCUCACUGACCCAGAAAGGCAAAGGUACAGAGAGAGUGUCUCCUCCUUUCAGACAGCGAGGCUGGGCAUCGUCAGGUUCCACACCAACAUGGAGCCCCUCUCCAUCAAGGCUUGGCCAGCAAAGGCCUGCGGUGGAGAAAGGUACUCAGAAUUGUGGAGCCAGUGCAGGGCAGUGGCCCCGACGUGUGGGCAUGAGGGGCAUUUCCCUCCCUUUUUCGUACCUCCUUCGGGUCUGCUUGUCACAGUGUGGCCCUGGGACUGCCUUCACGGGCAUCGUAGGAAAGCCACACGGCAAGGCCCAGGCUGACCAUCUAAUCGGAGGACAGUACCCCAUGCUUCCUGCAGACCCCUGGCGGGCAUGUGGCACCCCAGUAAGGGGAAGAAGGGGCCAUGCCCCGACGGGUGCCGAGGCCCACCUCCCGUGCUCUCCCUUCCCGUGGGGGCCUCCGUGCAGCAGCUCCAAGUGCCUCUUUGCAGCAGAAUCCCACACAUUGCACCUUUCUUGAGUCCCCUCCCUUCUUUCUUGGGCACUUGCAUGGUCUGGCAGUGGCCCUGACAACUGGGCACGGGAGCCUAUUCCACCUGGAUCUGCUUCGGGCUAGAUGGUCAUCAGUGAUGCACACUGACCCUUUUUUGUAAGUGUUGCUGUCUCUGGGUAACUUAUUUUUAUGGGGUCUCGUUCUGAUACCUUGGAUGUCACUGUGGCACAGGCGCGCCUCUGCGGACGUCACUGUGGCAUAGGCGCGCCUCUGCGGACGUCACUGUGGCACAAGCGCGCCUCUGCAGAUGUCGGGGGCAGGUGGGUAUUUGCAUUCCGUUGAAACCUGUCUGUGCUUGUCAGAGGAUGACCAGAAGCAGACCCAGGAGGAGCUUCGGAACUGCACGGGGCAGGUGCAGCCUGGGGGUGGCAUGGACCACGGAACACAAGAGGCAUCCAGGAGGCAGAUGCAGCAGAUAGAGGCUGCGUGCCUCACCGCCUGUGAAAUGCAGGGAGAGGAGGAUGUUUAUGUCGCUGAGCCACUCAGGGAGCAGAGUUUCCGAGUCAGUUUAGACAGGACUCACUCCCGUGGUGGCUCUGGGGCCACGUUCUCCUGUGCCUGGUCACUGCAGGGGAGGGCUGUGGCAUCCCUCCGUCUGCAGCCAUGGCAGCGGGAGAGCCGCAUCAGGAGAACUCAGUGACUCCAACAACGCGGUGUCCUGGGCCUGGGGAAGUCCGCCGCAGACCUGUGCUACAGGACACGGAGGUGGCAUGUUUGAGAAGGGACUAGACCUGGGCGGCCGUUAGGUUCAGCCCCGCUUUGACAGGUGUGGCUCGAGGAAUCCAGUGCCAGCAGCCGGGGCAGCGCAGGCAGGAGGAGCUGGGCCUCUCACUCUCAGCAGGGCCCUGGCACUCCUGUUGCUGCUGCUGAAUCCGUGUGUUCUGUUCUCUCAGAAGAGGCUUCCAGUCCUUUUCCCCUGGGAUUGGGGUCUCCCGGUCUCAGUCUGCAGUGGGAAAGCCGGUAAGAGGCGCCCCCCGCACUGCCCCACUUUCCAGAUCCUUUCUCCAUCAGUACCAGGGGCUGCAGCAGCAGUGCCCAAAUCGCCCUCAACCUCCCUUUCUGCUCUCCCGACUCCCAGGGUGCGGCCCUCCAGCGUUCCCCAGCCUCUGGGCACCCCGGCUCUCCACAGCGGCUCUUGGUGCCUCUGGACUGGUCCUGAGUGUGUGCCAGCAGCCUCUGGCUUUUGAGGCAAUGCUUUCCUGACAAUACAUCUGUGGGUUGAGUGGGUGGAAACUGAAUCACCAACUUAUGUUUAUUUUCUUUUUUGCUUUUGGAAUUUUUUUUUCCUGAGGUGAAAUUCACAUAACAUAAAACUAACCAUUUCAAAAUGAAGAAUUCAGCAGCAAUUAGUACUUACACAAGGUUGUCCAGCCACCAUCUCUACCUACUUGUAGCACAUUUCCCUCACCCCAAGAGGAAACACCAAGCUGGGCAUGCCCACUCCAAGCUGGGCAUGGUGGUGUGUGCCUGUGGUGCCAGCUAGUCAGGUCCCAUCUGCUCGGGAGGCUGAGGCAGGAGGAUCACUUGAGCCCGGGCGGUCGAAGUUGCAGUGAGCUGUGAUCAUGCCACUGCACUCCAGCCUGGGCGACAGAGCAAGACCCUGUCUCUAAAAACAAAAACAAAAGGAAACCCUGAGCCUGUGAAACAAAAGGAAACCCUGACCCCAUGAACAGUCUCUCCCCAUUCUGCCUCCCCACACUCCCUAGCUGCUGCUCAUCUGCUUUCUGUCCAUGGAUCACCUAUUCUGGGUGUUUCAUGUACAUGGAGUUGUAUAACAUGUGGCCUUUUGUGCCUGGUUUCUUGCUCUAAGCAUAAUGUUUUCAAGGUUCAUCUAUGUUGCCACGUGUAUUACUGCUUCAGGACUUUUUUUGCUUUUUUGUUUUUGAGAUGGAGUCUUGCUCUGUCACCCAGGCUGGAGUGCAAUGGCACAAUCUCGGCUCACUGCAUCCUCCACCUCCCGGGUUCAAGCAAUUCUCCUGCCUCAGCCUCCUGAGUAGCGGGGAUUACAGGCAUCCGCCACCACGCCUGGCUAAUUUUUUUAUAUUUUUAGUAGAGAUGGGAUUUCACCAUGUUGGCCAGGCUGGUCUCAAACUCCUGACCUCAAGUGAUCUGCCUGCCUCUGUCUUCCAAAGUGCUAAGAUUACAGGCGCAAGCCACUGCACCCGGCCAGAUGUUUUAAGGAUGAAUAAUAUUCAUGUGUAUGAAUAGACCACACUUUGUUUAUCCAUCCAUCUGUUGAUGGACACCUGGGUUGCUUCCAUCUUUUAGUGACUAUAAAUAAUGAUGCUAUGAGCAUAUGUGUACCAGUUUUUGUUUGAGUACCAGUUUUCAGUUCUUUUGGGUGUAUACCUAGGAGUGGAAUUGCUGGAUCAUACGGUAAUUCUAUGUUUAACUUUUUAAGGAACAACCAAACUGUUUUUCAUAGCAGCUGCACCAUUUUUCAUUCCCACCAGCAAUGUAUGAGCGUCCUAAUUUUUCCACAUCCUCACCAACUCUUGUUAUUUUCAGUUUUCUUUUUUUAAAUUGUAGUUACCCUAGAGGUUGUAAAGUGGUAUCUCAUUGUUGUUUUGAUUUGCAUUUUCUUAAUGACUGGUGAUGUCGAACAUCUUUUCCUGUGCUUAUUGGCCAUUUGUAUAUCUUCUUUGGAGAAAUAUCUAUUAAGUCCUUCGAUCAUUUUAAAAUUGGGUUGUUCGUCUUUGCUAUUGACUUGUAAGAAUUCUUUUAUAUUCCAGAUGCUAGAUCCUUAUCAGAUAGAUGAUUUGCAAAUGUUUUCUCCCACUCUGUGGGUAGCCUUUUCACUGUCUUGAUAAUGCCCUUUGAUGCAGACAUAUUUCUCAAGUGAUUUUAUUCCCACCAGGCUAAACAUUAUCAUAUUUCUCAUACCUCACUUUUCUGACAAAAUCCUGCUGAAAACUUUAACAAUAUUAUUGAAGUUUGGUUUGAGCCUUUCCCCCAAUAAAAUACACAGUCCUCAAGGCUUUAAUUUAACAAUUAAAUACUUGAACCCCUGCACACACUCGCAUGGCUGGGGGAAGAGAGGGCAAUGUGAAGAGCUCUCCAAUGGCACUGCCACCUAAAGGCAACGUGGCUGCAUGUGACCAAAUAUGUCACUGGCUGUCAGGCAACAAACUGGUCCAGUGGCGUCACUGGGGUGGGCACGAUAGUUCUAACUAACCAGAGCUGGAUGCACACGAGCCUGCACACACUCUUUAGCCCACCUAAUUGUUUUCUACUAUAAAACUCAAGGCAUAUGUAAAAUAGUCACAGAUACCCUAAGGAAGGCCCCUGUUAGGUUUAUAGUGCCUUCAGGGUGGGUUGACUUCAUAAUGAUCAACCUAGACUUCCACUCCCUCCCCGGGCAAAGAGCUGGCCCAGCACUCCAAGUAGGGAGUUCUUUAUGGCUGUUGAUCUCUGCUCUGGAGAUGAGCUGAGCACCAGACUGGAAGCAUGAGUUGCGGGCUGCUCGGGUUAAACGGGAAGACAGCAUGCUGAUGGGGGCUGCCAGGAGAGCUUGAUGAGGGAGCAGUUCUCUGAGUGGGAGACUUGUUACUUGCACACUGAGCCUUCAAUGACUGUGAUAUUUCACUCCAUGUCACAGGCUCCUGGGGCCUACAGAAAGGAGCUGGAGGUACCUAGUGCAGGCUGGGAGGCCUCCUUUAUUGAGGUGACAUGCCUGGAUGCUGGUGGGGGUUGGGGAGAACGCUGCCUCCCUGGAAUAGAAGACGCCUUGGCAGCCCUGGGUGCAGGCUGGCCAGCCCUGUCUGGGCUGCCUCUCUUCAUUCCAUGGCUCUGCUUGUUAGAGGAGGAAGUUAGGCAGACAUGAGUGGCGCCCGCCAGCCCAGGAAUGUCAGGCGACCAUCAGGUGAUGGUCAGGCAGUUGUUAAACUGUCUCUCUGAAAUGAUCAUCAGUUGCAGCUCAAGCUGGGGAAGAUGGUCUCCCAAUAAAUAAAAAAAACACCUGAAACUGGUGAUCAGCAGCUUCCUGAUAAGCUCUCGAGUUGGGUGAGUGGGCUCAAGCGUGCGCACUAAGAGGCAAAACGGCGGAUGUAUGAACUUCCUCUGGGGGCGUUCAACCAGUAAAGGAAAACCACCCCUACAGAGCACGCGCACAACCUCAGUAAACUCACUACACAUGCAAUCAUCCUCCUGAGUGCUGACCAACACUGCUGCAUGGGGCUGCUGAGCAACAGCCCGCCCCGAGGGAAGAACUGAGGGAGGAGAAGAGAAACCCCAGAGCCGUGCCAAUGGAUAAACCCCACGCCCAGGGCUGAGCCGUCACUUGGAUCUCUCACGUGGCGCACUCAGCCCUCUUCCAAGUAUACUUUAACUUCCUUUCACUCCUGCUCUAAAACUUUUUCAUAAACUCUCACUCCUGUUCUAAAACGUGCCUCAAUCUCUCCCUCUGCCUUAAACCUAUGUCUGCCCCGAAUUCUUUCCUAUGAGGAGGCAAGGAUGGAGUUGCUGCAGACCUGUGCAGAUUUGCUGCUGGUACUCAUGGACAAAGUCUGAAAAACCUCUUCCUGCCCUGGGCAAGGCAGAUGGGGGCCCACCAGGCUGGCUUUGCCCACUGUCUCCGAUAUCAUCCAACACAGUCGGCCAGGUUGUGUGGCCCUCUCAUCUACAUUUUCAUUUGCCAACAAGAUGGUGUGGGCUAUGCCGUCUUUGCACAGCGAUCUGAUCCCAGGGACAUUUGUGUGGGUGUGUGCCCAGGAGCUGCAUGUCUGCAGGUUCAGAUCGGGGUCAGCUUUGCUGGAGACUGUGGCUUCCUGCCAUGGCACCACAGAAGAGGGCUGGCGGAUUGGUCCUGUUGUCUCUCAUAGCUCUGUAGGGACACAGCGAGCCAUGUGGACUGACAGCUGGACCCUUCAUAAAGAUGGCCUAGAAAAUUAGGACACCGUCCUGUUGACAAAGCCCCUAGGCCUGCCCCCAUCAGGCCUCAUGGGUCCUUUCCAGGCCUAAGCCAGGGUUCUGAAAUCAUCUGUAAUUUGAAUUUAUAUUUCUAGGCCACAUUCCCUGCAUCCUUUCCAGCAAGAUGUAAUUCUGAGAUUUUUGUCAUUCCUGGGCGUUAUCUUAUGAGGACUGCCAAGGGAUGCAGUGCCAUAGGAGGAAAGUUUUCUUCUAAGCUGCAAGCCAGCUCUGGCUUCUGGAGUUUCUCCUGAGGAUUGCAAGACAGUAGGUCCCCUGUCCUUUAGGUCUUCUCCAGAAAUACCUUAAAAUAGCAAAUAAAAUAAGAUAGAAGCAAACAAAA